GCAGUGAGGAAUCUUGCGCAAUGGGGGAAACCCUGACGCAGCAACGCCGCGUGAGUGAGGAAGGCCUUCGGGUCGUAAAGCUCUGUCAGAUGGAAAGAAAUGCAUGAAGGUUAAUACCCUUUAUGUUUGACGGUACCGUCAGAGGAAGCACCGGCUAACUCCGUGCCAGCAGCCGCGGUAAUACGGGGGGUGCAAGCGUUGUUCGGAAUCAUUGGGCGUAAAGAGCGUGUAGGCGGCGUGAUAAGUCAGAUGUGAAAGCCCUGGGCUUAACUCAGGAAGUGCAUUUGAAACUGUCAUGCUUGAGUAGGGGAGAGGGAAGUGGAAUUCCUGGUGUAGAGGUGAAAUUCGUAGAUAUCAGGAGGAACACCGGUGGCGAAGGCGACUUCCUGGCCCUAUACUGACGCUGAGACGCGAGAGCGUGGGUAGCAAACAGGAUUAGAUACCCUGGUAGUCC
RNAcentral lists this ribosomal RNA (454 nucleotides) under uncultured delta proteobacterium. RNAcentral describes it as "bacterial SSU rRNA". It matches the Rfam family "Bacterial small subunit ribosomal RNA", at positions 351 to 796 of the family's 1533-position model. Lineage: Bacteria; Deltaproteobacteria. The record is from RNAcentral.